RNAcentral lists this long non-coding RNA (250 nucleotides) under Elaeis guineensis (African oil palm). RNAcentral describes it as "long non-coding RNA (EGUI_LNC020634)". Lineage: Eukaryota; Viridiplantae; Streptophyta; Magnoliopsida; Arecales; Arecaceae. The record is from RNAcentral.
UUGAGGAGCACGUGUUUGAAAAAUCACAUGAAGAUGCGUAUUGUUCCUCGACCGUAGCUGAGGAGCAUGCAAGCUGAAGAAUCGCAUGGAGACACGUAGCACUUCUCGAUCGGGGUCGAAGAGCACGCGAGCUGGAGAACUCAAAAGAGAUGUGUACUACUCCUCGACCAUAGCCGAAGAGUACGCUAGCCGGAGAACCGCAUGAAGAUACAUACCGCUCUUUGAUCGUGGCCAAAGAGCGUGCGUGCCG